RNAcentral lists this ribosomal RNA (253 nucleotides) under uncultured bacterium. Its description in RNAcentral is "partial 16S ribosomal RNA". It matches the Rfam family "Bacterial small subunit ribosomal RNA", at positions 524 to 776 of the family's 1533-position model. The record is from RNAcentral.
UACGAGGGAUGCAAGCGUUAUCCGGAAUUAUUGGGCGUAAAGCGCACGUAGGCGGCCGAAUAAGUCGGGUGUGAAAGCCCUGGGCUCAACCCAGGAAGUGCACUCGAAACUGCUCGGCUUGAGUAUGGAAGAGGGUUGCGGAAUUCCCGGUGUAGAGGUGAAAUUCGUAGAUAUCGGGAGGAACACCAGUGGCGAAGGCGGCAACCUGGGCCAAUACUGACGCUGAGGUGCGAAAGCGUGGGGAGCAAACAGG